AAAUAAGAAGCAAAACAUUGCAUUUAGUUUCGACCUAAAAAUAUGACCUAUCGUCCUUAUUUU
RNAcentral lists this transfer RNA (63 nucleotides) under Morphostenophanes yunnanus. RNAcentral's name for it is "tRNA-Arg". Lineage: Eukaryota; Metazoa; Arthropoda; Insecta; Coleoptera; Tenebrionidae. The record is from RNAcentral.